RNAcentral lists this ribosomal RNA (499 nucleotides) under uncultured bacterium. Its description in RNAcentral is "partial 16S ribosomal RNA". It matches the Rfam family "Bacterial small subunit ribosomal RNA", at positions 28 to 507 of the family's 1533-position model. The record is from RNAcentral.
GACGAACGCUGGCGGCGUGCCUAAUACAUGCAAGUCGAGCGAAGUUUUUCUGGUGCUUGCCCUAGAAAAACUUAGCGGCGAACGGGUGAGUAACACGUAAAGAACCUGCCUCAUAGACUGGGACAACUAUUGGAAACGAUAGCUAAUACCGGAUAACAGUACUUCUCGCAUGAGAGAUAUUUAAAAGUUGGUUAUGCUAACACUAUGAGAUGGCUUUGCGGUGCAUUAGCUAGUUGGUGGGGUAAAGGCCCACCAAGGCGACGAUGCAUAGCCGACCUGAGAGGGUGAUCGGCCACACUGGGACUGAGACACGGCCCAGACUCCUACGGGAGGCAGCAGUAGGGAAUCUUCCGCAAUGGGCGAAAGCCUGACGGAGCAACGCCGCGUGAGUGAAGAAGGAUUUCGGUUCGUAAAGCUCUGUUGUUAGGGAAGAAUGGAUAUGUAGUAACUAUACAUGUAAGAGACGGUACCUAACCAGAAAGCCACGGCUAACUACGUG